UACGGGGGGGGCAAGCGUUUGUUCGGAAUUAUUGGGCGUAAAGAGCUCGUAGGCGGUUUGUCGCGUCUGCCGUGAAAGUCCGGGGCUCAACUCCGGAUCUGCGGUGGGUACGGGCAGACUAGAGUGAUGUAGGGGAGACUGGAAUUCCUGGUGUAGCGGUGAAAUGCGUAGAUAUCGAGAGGAACACCUGCGGCGAAGGCGGGUUGCUGGGCUGAUACUGACGCUGAGGCGCGAAAGCCAGGGGAGCGAACGGG
This 254-nucleotide ribosomal RNA is filed under the name uncultured bacterium. RNAcentral's name for it is "partial 16S ribosomal RNA". It matches the Rfam family "Bacterial small subunit ribosomal RNA", at positions 524 to 776 of the family's 1533-position model. The record is from RNAcentral.